CAUGGACCGUCUGAAACACUUCCAAUCCUUGAUUGAUCAAAGCACCAUCCAAUCUGCAGUGACUCCAAAUGGAGGUAUUUAUCUGAUUAAUCUCUCCUUUGGAACCCCACCAGUUGAAUACAUGGCCGUUGCAGACACUGGUAGCGACCUUAUAUGGAUACAAUGUGUUCCAUGUCCUCAAUCUCAAUGUUAUCCACAAGGUUCUCCUCCUUUCGAUCCUCAAGCAUCUUCCACCUACAAAAAGAUUCCUUGCGGUUCCGAUAGUUGCCAAGCUCUUCCCCGAUAUCAGUGCUCCAACGACGUUAAUGACUGUCAAUACUUGUAUAGAUACGGAGACAAGUCAUUUACUAGAGGAAUCCUCAGCACCGAUACCAUAACUUUUGACGACUCCAAUGGUCAAAAAACAGCUUUCCCAACAUCCAUUUUCGGUUGUGGGCACAACAAUCUAGGUAAAUUCAGAAGCCCAAGUGCUGGUCUUGUUGGCCUGGGAGGAGGGCCGUUGUCACUUGUUUCUCAAAUAAGCACUCAAAUUGAUCACAGAUUUUCCUACUGCUUGGUUCCUCUCUCUGCGAGUUCCAGUAGUAAACUGCUGUUCGGCCAAGAAGCAAUAAUUUCUCGUCCUGGGGCUGUUUCCACUCCAUUGGUAUCCAAAGCCCCUCAAACCUACUACUACCUUAGUCUUGAAGGUGUUAGCAUUGGAGACAAGACCGCACAGGCAGGUUCGAGCCAAGGGAAUAUCAUAAUCGAUUCUGGAACAACACUCACAUACCUAGAAUCGAGCUUUUAUAGCAGCUUAGAGACUAUAGUGAAAGACGCCAUUGGAGCAGAUCCAGUGCAAUCUCCUUCAGAAUCAUUUAGCUUGUGUUACGGGUCAGAGACUAACAUCAACAUCCCGGAAAUGGUGUUCCAUUUUAGUGGUGCUGACCUUCGUUUGCAACCUGUCAACACGUUUGCUAAUUUCGAUGACAACUUGGUUUGUAUGCUGAUAGCUCCAACUCCAAGUGACCUUCCCUUAUCUAUAUUUGGAAACUUUGCACAAAUCAAUCUACAGGUGGAGUACGAUCUUGAGAAGAGGACUGUGUCCUUUGUUCCCACAGAUUGUACCAACCAAUAAAUUUGUUAGUUUCCAAUUGCAUGCAUGGCGGCGGCCGCGGACUCGAAUAAAUAUCACUAAAUAACAAUUCCAAACGCCGCUUAGCUUUUUAAAUUCCUCACUACCUUAUAUACUUUUCUUGCUUAAUUGUAAUAUCCAUGUCAGUAUACCGGUGACAUGAAAACAUCUUGCAAGAUGAUAUUAUGGCUAAUUAGUACUGAAACUAAAAGUUUCUGGCUGCUGCAAAAUUUAAUUGCUGAAUUUUUGCUUUAACAACAGUUUACAGGCAUAUAUGAGACAUUACCAGCAUCUUAUCUUUUUAUUUUUUGGGAUGCCCUGGAAACAAAUACUAACCUUUUCCUGGUUAAACUUACAUGUUAUUUAUGCAUUUUAUAAGAUGCUUUUGAGCACUUCUAUAAUCUUGUUAAAGUCGUUAAACAAAAAUAAAUGAAAGAAAUAAAAAGGAAAUUUCCUUUUGUAACAAAUAAAAUCCAGUCUCUUUCUUUGACACGUUCGGGCCCAACUUAGCGAAUUCAAUGGAGCUUGACGCUGGGCCUGGCUAAUCAAUUUCUAUUCAAGCCACCCAGCAAGAUUAGUUAUUCGUUUAUUGAUAAAUAACAUAAAUUUCCCACUUACGAAGAUGAUAUAAUUAUAUAUAUAAAAGGCUAAACUCUAAAAUUGUUAAAAGUGAUGGGUUAAAAUAGCUUUUUAAAAUAUAUAUUUAAUAUUUUGAUAUUUAAAAAAAUUCAUAUUAAAAUUUAAAGGAUAAACUAUAAAAAUAGUCACCCAACUAUAAAAAGUUUCACUUUUGUCAUCUAAAAUAAAAUGUUUGUAAUUUAAGCACUUAUUUUAUAUAAUUUGAUCAUUUUGAUCAUUCCCAUUAAAAUCACAAAUGACAAGUUUAGGUGGCAGUUAAACAAAUCGAUACAAUAAAAAAAUUUACCCAUCAACUUUUAUAUAUUGUAUCAAUUUAGUCAUAAUUUAAAAAAAUUAACCUUCAAAAUUUACAAAUAAUCUCAAUUUGAUUAUAAUUCUAAAAAAAUUCAAAAAAACAAGUUAUUUAUUUGUAUCCAUUUUCAUUGCCGCAUUAUAGUUUGGAGGGGUACGAAAGAAUGCUCAAAUAAAGAAUUAAAAAAGAAGAAGAAAAAACAAUGGAAAUUUUUUAUUACAAUUUUACAUCAUUUGACCAACAUUGUUAUGUAAUGGUAAACAAACUUUGUUCAAAUAUCAUUAAACUAAUGAUAUUUUUUUUCUCAAAAAUCUUAACCAAAAACUCGAAUGGUUUUAAUGUCAAGCUUCUUCAAUUCCACCUUAGGAACAAUAACAAUGGUAACCCCAUUUUACAUGGAAGAUUUAACUUUGAUCCAUCUUCGCAUUCUUAGGCAACUUGAAUCAUCUCGAGAACUUGCCACUGCUCCGCCUCCACGCGAUGCUACAUCUCGUUCUUCUUUUCCUUCUCCACAUUCCUUUCGAUGCUUAUUUGAAACUCCCUUUCAUAUUCAAUGUCCUCUUUCUUAAGUUUAGGAAGAUUGGCUUUGAGCACAUGGGCAUCCGACUGUUAAGAGAUAAAAUUUUAUUUUAAAUUUUAAUAUUUUUUGUUGUGCUUUUAAUUUAAAACGUUGAGUUUUAUUUUUUUUAGUUAAAUGGGGAGUCUUAAUGAAGGAAGAAAAAAUGACUCAUUUUCUCAUAAGGGCUGUUGUAACCAUUUUAAUGAAACAAUGAGUAGAUAGACAGCUGUCCAUAAUUAAAAUUGAAAGCUUUGUACCAUGCUCCUCUCUCUCUCUCUGAGUCGUUAUAUUUUCAAAAUGAGUAAUGAAAGACAUGCAUAAUAUGAUUUUGGACUGAAGUUUUUACCCUAUUUUCUCUUCUCUAAACUAUUCUCUGUUUUAUUCUCUCUUUCUUCGAUACAACUAGGAUUCUAUCUCGUAACAAGGUAUCAGAGCUUGACGACCUCAUGACCAGGGAUGGGAUUACCACACAUUUGCAAAAGGAUGUUACUAGUAUUCAAAAUGAUAUGCUCAAGCUGUAACAGAGGUUUCUAAAUGGGAUAAUCAUUUGGAAAUUCGACUAACAAAGUUUAAAAAAGAGUUGUGGUGAGAGUUCAAGUCAGAGGUUCAAUCCUUAUUUGAAUAGUAUUUAGGUGCACUAGUGAGUUCUUUGGGAGCUAGUCCUUUAGCAAAUAAGGAGAAAUGGGUUUUGGGAGGAGUUCCACCGGAUUUUCCUCCUAAGGAGUCAACGACCAUACCUCUUCUCGUGGACGCGGGUGCUUUAUUAGACCCUAGAGAAUAGGUGUGAUAGAGACAGUAGCUAGCCUUACAAAUUGGAGUGUCCAUGGCUCGACACCACAGAUUUCAGGGGAUAGUAGGCUAAACUGGAGCAAUAUUUCGAGACGGAUGAGAUUCCACUGAACUUUUAUGUCAUAAUAUUGAUGCUUCACCUAGAAGGUAAGGCUCUUGACUGACAUCAUUUUUUUUCCAAAGAUAGGGUGGGUUUCAUAUGCUUACUUGGGAAUCUUAUGCAUAAAACUUGAAGGAAAGGUUUGGAUCUAAUGUUUAUCAGAACCCGAUAACAAAUUUGGUAAAUUUAAAACAAGUAGGAACUAUAGAUUAAUACCAUGAUGCUUUCAUUAGCCUGUUAAAUCAACUUCUGUAACACCCCUAACCCGAAUCCGAUAGCCGGAUUUAGGCUAAAAAGGUAUUACCGAGCUAAACAUUAAAUUUCUCAUCGACAUUAACUAACAUAAACAGAGAUUGAGCUGAAUACAUAUUGAUCUUUGUGUUAUACAUAUGCCAUUUUCAUAUGGCCAAAAUAUUUACAAUUACAAAACAUAGUUAUCUUUAGCCUAACCUAUACAUGCCAUAUCAGGACCAAAAUAAAACUGUACCAAAAAGAUCGAUAGUAGGAUGAAUUGUUGACGAUCCCCGAGUCGGUGGCCAAAAUCAACAAUCUAUAAAACAGAGAAAUAAGGAACAAAGUAAGCUUUCGAGGCUUAGUAAGUUUUAAGCAUUUCAAACAAUUAAAACUUGUCAUUUAAAUCGAACAUUAAGUAUCACAGAACUCGUAUUCUAAUUAUAUAUUACUUGGCCGAAUAUACACAAGUACACUAAUUAUAAAGCCUAUUGGUCGAAUAUAUAUAUAUGAAUACACAAGAAAUUUUCAGCACAUAUUUAACUAUAGUAUAUGGCUCAUACAAUUACUUUAAGUCACAUACUUUCAUAUAAUGACAUACAUUGAUCGAAUAGGUCAUUCUCUUAUUCUUAAAUACCGUAUUCAUCCACACGUAUAUAUAUAUAUAUCGUUCUUUAAUACUAAUAAUUCACUUUAAAAUCAUUUCACAUAUGAGUACAUAAUACGUACCUUAACAUGUUAAAUAUAUAGUACUUACUCGACGGUGGUUUUCCACGGAUAUUCAAUGUCGUAAUCUUACUUAAUUUACUGGCAUCAAACCUGUCAAGUCUUAGAACUUGAAACAAAUUUCUAGCACCAGCCUGCGGGAAUUUAAACCCGGUAUAAUACCAGCUCGUAGCCUGUGGGUCUCUAGCCCGAAUAGCAUUUUAGCACGAAGCCUGCGGGUCUUUAAGCCCGGAUACAAUUCCUCAAGUAUCAUGCAUAUUUAAUCAUAUAUUAACACAUCUCAUUGAACAUGUUACAUUAGUAGUCAUUUGCUACAUGCGAAUAUAAGCUCCAUAUACAUUUCAUUAAUUAAGCUUAACCCGUAUUGACCAUUCGACUAUAGUUCAUAUACUUAGAUUAUUUAUCACACAACUUAAUUCAAGUAGAAUCAAAAGGUCACAAUUCAUCUAAUAUACACAUAUCAAGGCAUCAAAAAUUUUUAUACUAAAGGCGACUACUCAAAACUUACCUCGGAUAUCGUCGAACGAUUACAACGGCUAUUCGAUUACUUUCUCUUUUCCCUUAUCUGAGUUUGCCCCUCUAUGCUCUUGAGCUAAUUCAAACAAAUUUAGCUUAUUAAAAUCCCAUCAUGCUAGAUUAUGGUCGAAUAUGACAAGAGAUUUACUAGGUCAUAUAGCUACCUUUAGCUCAAAUACGAAAUGGUCAUACCCAUUUUAAUCACUUUAAACAUUCUAAUACAAUUUAAUUAAACAUUUCUCCAAGUAUACCUUUAUGACCGAAUAUACAUAUCAAAUAAAUAGCUUACUUAAUACAUAACUCACAUAGCCAAAGUACAUAUAACCCUAAUGACCGAAUAUGUAUAUAACCAAAAUUCCUGUGACUUAACCUUUAACCCCUUUUAGCCGAAUAUCCAUUAAAUAUCUAGUUCACAUACACAAACACAAAAUUCAUAUGGCUUAUCAUAUUUUCAUGUACAUAUCUUAACUAUAUAGCCGAAUAUAUAUAUAUAGUUCAUCAAACCGAUAUUUAUUCCUAUUCCCUUAACACAUAUAGAUCAAUUUGACAUGCAUUUACCUUUGGCACAUUCGGUCAUUUAAGCAAUAACCUAUCUAGAAUUUAAGCAUUUUAUACUAAAAAUUCUCCCAAGGCCAAAUUCAUAUACAUCUUUUAAUACUCAUACAAAGUUUAUAUUUCAAAUAAUUUGUGCAUAGACCAUUAAUCUACUAAUUAACUAAACACUUUAAAAAUUUUCUUUAACUAAACGUAUAUUCGGCAAUGACCACAACAAUUUAACAAAUCUUAAAAACAAUCUAUAACAUUUUAAAUUCAUCUUACCCCCUCAUGACCGAAUGUGCAUAUAUAUAUAAACUCAAAUAACAACAAAAUUUUCUUUCCAAAAUGCAUAUAUAUACAUACGGAACUUCAAUUCAUACCUCUCAACAAUGAAUUCAACUUAUUCAACCAUCAUUUAAGCUACUUUAACAUAUAAAUAAAAUCUUCCCAAAAACUUAUCAAAAUAACACAAAUUUAGCAACUUGCCGAAUGGAUAUAUGUUCAAUGAUUCAUGAAUUUAAACCAUGGGUUAACUAUACUAUGUACUUAUCAAUUUAAUUUCAUAAUCAAUUACAAAAAAAAUCACAUUACAUACCUUUAAAUUGAGAUAACCAUGGCCGAAUGCCUUGGCUUCUUCUUCAAUAUUUUUCUUUCUCAAUUUUGGUAAUGAUGAAAGAAAGAUGAACACCCAUUAUUUUAUCAUCUUUUUUCUUAUUUUACUAAUUAUUUUUUUAUUUCAAAAUAAUGCCAUUACUUAUUAUAAUACUUAAAUCAAACAUAUAAUAUCCAUCAACCAUCAUUAUGGCCGGCCACUAUAUUAAAAGUGGUCUAUUUGACAUGCAAGUCCCCCAUGUCAAUAGUUCAUGCAUUAUUUGGCACUUUAAAAUUUACCUAUCACAUUUUCAAGUCUUAUCACAUGAGUCCUAUCUUAUAAAUUUCACAUACAAAUGACAAAAUCAAAGCAUGAAACUUUCACACAUGCAUUUACACAUAUAAUAAACAUAGAAUAUAAUGGUUAAUUAUUUUUAUGACUCGAUUUUGUGGUCCCGAAACCACUUUCUGACUAGGGUCAAAUUAGGGCUGUCACAACUCUCCCGCACAUAAAGAAUUUUCGUCCCCGAAAAUCUUACCAGUGAAUAAGUUAGGAUAUCGAUCUUUCAUAGGGUCUUCAAGUUCCCAUGUAGCUUCUUCAACCCCAUGCUUAAGCCACAGUACCUUCACUAAUGAGAUUUUCUUAUUUCGUAGUUCUUUUACUUCACGAGCCAAAAUACGAACCGGUUCUUCUUCAUAGCUUAAAUCAGAUUAAAUCUCAACCUCAGAUGGAUUAAUUAUAUGCGAUGGAUCUGAUCUAUAACGUCGAAGCAUCGAAACAUGAAAAAAGUUGUGAAUCUUUUCAAGCUCAGGGGGUAAAAUCAAUCUGUAUGCGACUGGCCCAACUCAUUCGGAUAUUUCAUAUGGUCCGAUGAAACCUCGGACUCAAUUUGCCCUUACGGCCAAAUCUGAGCAUCUUUUUCCAAGGUGAAACUUUAAGAAACACUUUGUCUCCGACCUGAUAUUCAAUGUCUUUUCGUUUUAAAUCCGCAUACGACUUCUGACGAUCUGAAGCUGCUUUCAGACUUUCACGGAUCACUUUUACUUUCUGCUCAGCAUCUUUAAUCAAAUCAACCCCGAAGAUUUUACUUUUACUAAGCUCGGUCCAAAACAACGGUGUACGGCAUUUACGACCGUACAAAGCCUCGUAUGGUGCCAUCUUAAUGCUUGAUUGAAAACUAUUGUUGUAGGCGAAUUCAAUCAAAGGCAAAUACCGUUCCCAUGAACCACUAAACUCAAGGAUGCAACAUCUCAACAUAUCCUCGAGUAUCUGAAUUAUCCGCUCGGAUUGACCAUCAGUCUGGGGAUAAAAAGCGGUGCUAAAAUGUAACUUGAUACCCAAUGCUUCUUGCAAUUUCUUCCAAAAUCGCGAUGUGAAUCUUGGAUCUCUAUCCGACACAAUAGAAAUAGGUACCCCAUGUAACCUUACAAUCUGAGAAACAUACAACUCGACUAGCUUGUCAAGUGAAUAAUCCGUACGUACGGGAAUAAAAUGAGCCGACUUUGUCAAUCUAUCAAUAACAACCCAGAUCGCAUCUUUCUUGCUUGACGACAAUGGCAACCCGGAUACAAAAUCCAUCGCGACUCGAUCCCAUUUCUAUUCGGGUAUCAUGAUCGGAUGAAGUAAUCCUGAAGGCACUUGAUGUUCCGCUUUCACUUGUUGACAUAUCAAACACUUCGAAACAAAGUCAGAAAUGUCUCGUUUCAUACCAGGCCACCAAAACUGACGUUUCAGAUCGUUGUACAUUUUCGUACUACCCGGGUGGAUUGACAUUCGGCUACUAUGAGCCUCGCUUAAAAUCACCGAAAUAAGUUCUGAAUUUCUUGGAACACACAAUCGAUUUCUGAAUUUCAAACAAUCGUUGUCGUCAAUUUGAAACUCUGAUUCUACAUUUGAGACACAAUCAGCUCGUUUAGCCACCAAUUCAUCGUCGACUUUUUGAGAUUCACAUAUUUGAUGAAUCAAUAAUGGUUUGGCUAUUAAUUCUGCUACUAACACAUUAUCGGAUGAAACGGACAGGUGUAUAUUCAUCACUCGCAAAGUAAACAGUGACUUGCGACUUAAAGCAUCGGCAACCACGUUAGCCUUUCCCGGGUGAUAGUCAAUGACGAGCUCAUAAUCUUUCAACAACUCAAGCCAACGUCUUUGUCGCAGAUUCAAAUCUCUUUGAGCCAUCAAAUAUUUGAGGCUUUUGUGAUCCGAAUAUACAUGACACCUCUUUCCAAACAAGUAAUGUCGCAAUAUUUUCAAAGCGAAUACGAUGGCAACUAAUUUGAGAUUAUGGGUCGGAUAGUUUUUCUCAUGUGGAUUCAAUUGCCUCGAUGCGUAAGCUACAACUCGACCCUCUUGCAUUAAUACACAACCCAGCCCAAGUAAGGACGCAUCACUGUAAAUGAAAAACUCUCUACCGGAUUCAGGCUGCACUAACACAGGAGCUUCAGUCAAAUAAGUUUUCAAUUGAUCGAAACUUUUCUGACAUUUUUCUGACCAAUCAAACUUAACAUCUUUCUGAAGUAGUUUCGUCAUUGGUGUGGCUAUCAUCAAGAAACCCUUUACAAACCGUCUGUAGUAACCAGCAAGUCCCAAAAAGCUUCGAACUUUAGUAACAUAUCUCAGAGGCUUUCAAUCAAGUAUGGUUGAAAUUUUGCUCGGAUCAACUCGAAUACCGGAUGCAGAUACCACAUGCCCAAAAAAACUAACUUCUCUUAACCAGAAUUCACAUUUACUAAAUUUCGCGUAUAACUACUUGUCUCGUAAAAUCUGUAAUACCAAUCUCAGGUGCUCGGCAUGUUCAGUUUCAUCGCGUGAAUAAAUCAAGAUGUCAUCUAUAAACACAACUACAAACCGGUCCAAAUACUGUCUGAAAAUUCGAUUCAUCAAAUCCUUAAAUAUUGCAGGGUAUUAGUGAGCCCAAACGGCAUCACUAAGAACUCGUAGUGACCGUAUCUCGUUCUGAAAGCAGUUUUAGGUAUAUCUGAGUCUCAAACUCGCAACUGAUAAUAACCCGAUCUUAAAUCUAUCUUUGAAAACACUGAGGCUCACUUCAGCUGAUCAAACAAAUCAUCAAUACGCGAUAACGGAUAUUUGUUCUUUAUUGUCACUUUAUUUAAUUGACGAUAGUCGAUGCGUAUUCUCACGGUUCCGUCUUUCUUUUUCACAAACAAUACUGGUGCACCCUAAAGGGAGAAACUCGGUCGAGCGAAACCUCUAUCCGUCAACUCUUGCAACUGAGUUUUCAAUUCCUUCAAUUUUGUUGGUGCCAUACGGUACAGAGCUAUCGAAAUUAGUGUAGUCCCAGGUAUAAGUUCAAUGCCAAACUCUACCUCCCGAACAGGUGGUAACCUCGGUAAUUCCUCGGGAAAAACAUUCGGAUACUCACAAACCACUGGUACUGAUUCAAGCUUCUUUUCUGAUUCUUUACUAUCAAGUACGUACGCAAGAUAUGCUUUACACCCUUUUUUUACAUAUUCUGAACCAACAUCGAGGAUAUCAUUGCAGGUAACCCGUUCACGCCAGCAGACUCAACUCGUAUUAUUUCAUCAUUUGCACAUCUCAAAUCAAUAGUCUUUCUUUUGCAAUUCACAAUUGCAUCGUGCACAGUCAACCAAUCCAUACCGAGAAUAACAUCAAAUUCAUCAAACGGUAAAAGCAUCAAAUCAACCGGAAAAUAGGAACCUCGGAUUAUUAGGGCACAUUUCCUACACACUUUGUCAACUAGCACAUAUCGACCUAAGGGAUUCGAUACUCGAAUCACAAACUCAGUAGACUCAACAGGUAGAGUCUUACUGGAUGCUAAAGUCUCACAUACAUAUGAAUGAGUAGAACCAGGAUCAAUCAAUGCAAUCACAAUAGUAUCAAAGAGAGUGAAAGUACCGGUAAUAACAUCAGGCGAAGAAGCAUCCUCGCGUGCGUGUAUAGCAUAAGCUCUAGCAGGAGCACGAGCCUCAGAUAUACUCGUAGCAUCUCUAGACCCUCUCUGACCGCCACUAGCGUUCCUUGUAUUCCUAGAGCGUCUACCUCGAGCUGUAGUAGUACCCGGUUUACCACUCUGAUUCAUAUUCUAUUCAGACAAUCUCGGGCAGUCCUUGAUAAAGUGGUCGGCUGAUCCACACUUAUAACAGGAGCGAUCAUGAAAUCUACAACUCCCCGAAUGCCAUUUCCCACAAUACUUGCACUCGGUCUUGUCCUGACGAUCGUUUCCAACACUGGCAACCGAAGUGGCUCGCGUACUCACAAGGGGUCGAUCACGGUCUUGUCUGGAAAAGCCCGAAGUGUUCUUAGAUCAGUCCGAAUCAUCUCGAAAUUUCUUCGGUGACUACCGAAAGGGCUUUCCCAAAGAUCUUUAACGGAACUCUCUAGCUCCAUCUUCAGCUUUUCUUUUCUCUUUACUGAGCUCUUCGCCUUUGCAAGCUCGCUCGACAAGUACUACAAACUCUCUGAUUUCAAGAAUGCCAAUAAACAGUUUUAUAUCUUCGUUCAAUCCAUCUUCGAAAUGUUUACACAUUAUAGCUUCUGAAGAAACACAUUCUCAGGCAUACUGGCUAAGUCUCACAAAUUUUCGUUCAUAAUCAGUAACUGACAUGGAACCCUGUUUAAGUUUAAGAAAUUCCUUCUGUUUCUGAUCGAAGAAUCUCUAGCUGAUAUACUUUUUCUGGAACUCGGUUUGGAAGAACUCCCAAGUCACUCUCUCUCUAGGCACAACAGAAAUCAAUGUAUUCCACCAAUAGUAGGCAGAAUCACGUAGCAAAGAUAUAACACAUUUUUUUAACUAUCAGAAUUCAUCAUACUAUCAUAUUAAUACUAUAUGGCAUGUAUAGCUAGACUCAAACACUCUACGUUAGUCCUAGAAUCGACUAAACCAUAGCUCUGAUACCAAUAAAAUGUAACACCCCUAACCCGAAUCUGAUCGUAGGAUUUAGGCUAAAAAGGUAUUACCGAGCUAAACAUUAAAUUUCUCAUCCACAUUAACUAACAUAAAUAGAGAUCGAGCUGAAUACAUAUUGAUCUUUGUGUUAUAUAUAUGCCAUUUUCAUAUGGCUAAAAUAUUUACAAUUACAAAACAUAGUUAUCUUCAGCCUAACCUAUACAUGCCAUAUCAGGACCAAAAUAAAACUGCACCAAAAAGAUCGAUAGUAGGAUGAAUUGCUGAUGAUCCCCGAGUCGGUGGCCAAAAUCAACAAUCUAUAAAAUAGAGAAAUAAGGAACAGAGUAACCUUUCGAGGCUUAGUAAUUUUUAAAAAUUUCAAACAAUUAAAACUUGUCAUUUAAAUCGAACAUUAAGUAUCACAGAACUCGUAUUCUAAUUAUAUAUUACUUAGCCGAAUAUACACAAGUACACUAAUUAUAAAGCAUAUUGGUUGAAUAUAUAUAUAUGAAUACACAAGAAAUUUUCAGCACAUAUUUAACUAUAGUAUUUGGCUCAUACAAUUACUUUAAGUCACAUACUUUCAUAUAAUGGCAUACAUUGACCGAAUAGGCCAUUCUCUUAUUCUUAAAUACCUUAUUCAUCCACACGUAUAUAUAUAUCGUUCUUUAAUACUAAUCAUUCACUUUAAAAUCAUUUCACAUAUGAGUACAUAAUACGUACCUUAACAUGUUAAAUAUAUAGUACUUACUCGACGGUGGUUUUCUGCGGAUAUUCAAUGUCGUAAUCUAACUUAAUUUACUGGCAUCAAACCUGUCAAGUCUUAGAACUUGAAACAAAUUUCUAGCACCAGCCUGCGAGAAUUUAAACCCGGUAUAAUACCAGCUCAUAGCCUGCGGGUUUCUAGCCCGGAUAGCAUUCUAGCACGAAGCCUGCGGGUCUUUAAGCCCGGAUAACAUUCCAGUAUAUAGCCUGCGGGUCUUUAAGCCCGGAUACAAUUCCUCAAGUAUCAUGCAUAUUUAGUCAUAUAUUAACACAUCUCAUUGAACAUGUCACAUUAGUAGUCAUUUGCUACAUGCGAAUAUAAGCUCCAUAUACAUUUCAUUAAUUAAGCUUAACCCGUAUUGACCAUUAGACUAUAGUUCAUAUACUUAGAUUAUUUAUCACACAACUUAAUUCAAGUAGAAUCAAAAGGUCACAAUUCAUCUAAUAUACACAUAUCAAGGCAUCAUAAAUUUUUAUACUAAAGGUGACUACUCAAAACUUACCUCGGAUAUCGUCGAAUGAUUACAACGACUAUUCGAUUACUUUCUCUUUUCCCUUAUCUGAGUUUGUCCCUCUAUGCUCUUGAGCUAAUUCAAACAAAUUUAGCUUAUUAAAAUCCCAUCAUGCUAGAUUAUGGUCGAAUAUGACAAGAGAUUUACUAGGUCAUAUAGCUACCUUUAGCUCAAAUACGAAAUGGUCAUACCCAUUUUAAUCACUUUAAACAUUCUUAUACAAUUUAAUUAAACAUUUCUCCAAGUAUACCUUUAUGACCGAAUAUACAUAUCAAAUAAAUAGCUUACUUAAUACAUAACUCACAUAGCCAAAUUACAUAUAACCCUAAUGACCGAAUAUGUAUAUCACCAAAAUUCCUGUGACUUAACCUUUAACCCCUUUUAGCCGAAUAUCCAUUAAAUAUCUAGUUCACAUACACAAACACAAAAUUCAUAUGGCUUAUCAUAUUUUCAUGUACAUAUCUUAACUAUAUAGCUGAAUAUAUAUAUAUAGUUUAUCAAACCAAUAUUUAUUCCUAUUCCCUUAACACAUAUGGAUCAAUUUGACAUGCAUUUACCUUUGGCACAUUCGGUCAUUUAAGCAAUAACCUAUCUAGAAUUUAAGCAUUUUAUACUAAAAGUUCUCCCAAGGCCAAAUUCAUGUACAUCUUUUAAUACUCAUACAAAGUUUAUAUUUCAAAUAAUUUGUGCAUACACCAUUAAUCUACUAAUUAACUAAACACUUUAAAUUUUUUUUUAACUAAACAUAUAUUCGGCAAUGACCACAACAAUUUAACAAAUCUUAAAAACAAUCUAUAACAUUUUAAAUUCAUCUUAUCCCCUCAUGACCGAAUGUGCAUAUAAAUAUAUAAACUCAAAUAACAACAAAAUUUUCUUUCCAAAAUGCAUAUAUAUACAUACGACAACUUCAAUUCAUACCUCUCAACAAUGAACUCAACUUAUUCAACCAUCAUUUAAGCUACUUUAACAUAUAAAUAACAUUUUCCCAAAAACUUAUCAAAAUAACACAAAUUUAGCAACUUGCCGAAUGGAUAUAUGUUCAAUGAUUCAUGAAUUUAAACCAUGGGUUAACUAUACUAUGUACUUAUCAAUUUAAUUUCAUCAUCAAUUACAAAAAAAAAUCACAUUACAUACCUUUAAAUUGAGAUAACCAUGGCCGAUUGCCUUGGCUUCUUCUUCAAUAUUUUUCUUUCUCAAUUUUGGUAAUGAAGAAAGAAAGAUGAACACCCAUUAUUUUAUCAUCUUUUUUCUUAUUUUACUAAUUAUUUUUUUUAUUUCAAAAUAAUGCCAUUACUUAUUAUAAUACUUAAAUAAAACAUAUAUUAUCCAUCAACCAUCAUUAUGGCCGGCCACUAUAUUAAAAGUGGUCUAUUUGACAUGCAAGUCCUCCAUGUCAAUAGUUCAUGCAUUAUUUAGCACUUUAAAAUUUACCUAUCACAUUUUCAAGUCUUAUCACAUGAGUCCUAUCUUAUAAAUUUCACAUACAAAUGACAAAAUCAAAGCAUGAAACUUUCACACAUGCAUUUACACAUAUAAUAAACAUAGAAUAUAACGGUUAAUUAUUUUUAUGACUCGAUUUUAUGGUCCCGAAACCACUUUUUGACUAGGGUCAAAUUAGGGCUGUCACAACUUCAAUUACCCGAACAAUAUGUACUAAGCAGUUUUAUAAGUAACCUUAAGGCAGAAAUCAGUUAAUACCUGUAACUUUUUAAACCUAAAUGUAUAGUGGAACGAUUUUUUAUUGCGAAGUAAGUCGAGAAUAUUCUUAGCAGCCUCACAAAGAAGAGAUUAUUGUCCGAAUGGAAUACAUCUUUUAAAGCUGCCCUGUUACCAGUUUCAGGAGCCAACUUCUAUUGUUAGUUUAGGAACUCAUUAUAGUGGUUUUGGUGGGUUAGGGGCCAAGUCAGUAAUUGCUAGUUCAGGAACUUAGAACAACAAUUUUGGAGGAUCAGGGAACCAUCAUAGAGGGCCUCCUAGAUCCCUCUCUUCAGCUGAAACCUAAGAUAGGAAAAAGAAUUAUCUUUGCUUUUGGUGUGGUGCUAAGUAUAAUGUGGGACAUAAGUGCAUUAAGUCCUAGCUUUAUUAGUUAAUGUUGGAUCCAUGCACAGAGGAAAUAGAGGAAGAGUGUAGCUUGAGCCACGAAGAGGUCAUCAAGUUUAAGGAAACAUCGGUUGAUAAUAUUGUACCUACCAAACCGGUAUUAUCCUUCCAUGCACUUCAGGGUUUGCGAUGUGUCUACAGUAUAAGGGUAGCUACCAAUUUUGGGAACACCAAUGUUAUUCUCCUUGUUGAUUUAGGAAGUACCCAUAAUUUUGUAAGUGCUAAACUUGUAUGUAAGUUGGCUUUACUGAUUUUUCCUAGGGAUAAAUUGAAGGUAACUGUUGCUAAUGGGGUUUCUUGUCAACCAGUGAGGCUUGUAAUGAAUUAUUGUAGUUUACAUUUACUGCUAGCUUUCAAACUGAUUUCCUAGAACUACCAUUAGGAGGUCAUGAUUUAGUCUUAGGGGUACAAUGGCUCUAGACCUUGGGACCCAUCACUUGGGAAUUUAGUUCCCUGACAAUGAAAUUUAUUUACAAUGGUCAGCAAUGUUUAUUAGAAGGCAUACAACCAAGUCACAUCCAAUUACUGGGAGACAAUCAAUCUACCAAAUGUUUAACUAUGUUAGGGAAAUGACAGGGCUUAUAUGCUAUGGUUAUCACAGACACGGUACAGGCUAGUUUGAUGGCAACUAUUGCUAGUUUCAACGAAGAACUCUAGACUAUAUUGCAAACCUAUGAUGAUGUUUUUCAAGAAACAAAAGGUAUCCCAUCUUCUUGGCUACAAUACCAUAAAAUACCCUUGAAAGAUGAAUCAGUUAUGGUUAAAAUAAGACCAUAUAGUACCUCUCCAUUCAAAAAAUAGAAAUGGAAAGGUUGGUUCAUGAAAUGCUUCAAGCAUGGAUCACUAGGGACUCUAACAACUUCUUUCCAUCCUCUAUAGUCAUGGUUAAAAAAAAGAUGAAGGAUGGUGACUGUGUGUAGGUUAUUGACAAUUAAACCAGUUAACAAUUAAAGAUAAAUUUUCUAUUCCUGUAAUAGAAAAGCUCUUGAUGAACUUAGGUAGGCCAGAAUUUUUUUCAAGCUAGAUCUUCAUUUUAGUUACCACCAAAUUCGAAUUUAGGAGCCUGACAUCCAUAAAAUGGUCUUUCGAAUGCAUGAGGGACUAUGAAUUUUUAGUCAUGCCUUUCAGCUUGACAAAUGCCCCCUCCACGUUCCAAGAUUUGAUGAAUUCAAUUUUUAAAACUUGACUAAGGAGGUUUGUACUUGUUUUGUUUGAUGAAAUCAUUGUUUAUUCCUAUUCUUAGAAGGAUCAUUUGAGGCAUCUCACAACAGUCUUUAACGUUUUGAGAAACUAAUAGUCAUAUGCCAAACAAAGUAAAAGUCAUUUUGAGGCCACUUGAAUUGAAUAUUUGGGGCAUGUUAUAUCUCAAAGGAAUAUGGCAAUGGACCAAAACAAGGUUACUCAAAUUAUGGAUUGGCUAACUCCUCAGUGUGUUAAAAAACUCAAGGGGUUCCUUGGUUUUUUAGUGUAACAACCCGAUUUUAGGUCUAAUCGGAACAGUGGUUUCGAGACCACAAAUAUGACGUAUAAAAACUUAGUUUUAUUAUAUUUUUAUGAUAUACAAUUAUAUUUAAUAUUUUUGCUAAAAUUUCAUUCAAAAAUUUUGACGUUUGGACACUCAAUUUGGUAAAAGGACUAAAUUGUAAAAAGUGAAAAACCUGAGUUCUAUAAGCUAGAGGUGUCUAAUUGCUAUGAAAUUUUAAAUUAGAGGUCUUUAGAUGGUAAUUAGACUAUUACUUAAGUUGGUGGACAAAAAUGGGCAUGAAGUAAGAGUAAUUUUAGUGUUUUAAAAAAGGGCAUUUUGGUCAUUUGGUAAUUAAAUGAAUAAAAAGCCAAACUUUUGUCCAUAUUCUUCCUCCCAUAGCUAAAAUUUAGAAUGGGAAGCCAUAUAUAGGGUUUGGACACUUCCAAGCUCGAUUGUAAGUUUGUUCUUGUCCCGUUUUUAAUGCUCUUUAUAUUUUUGAAGUCAUUGUAACUCGAUCUACCUAUUUCUAGCACUAAUUUGAAGAAUGAUUAAGGUAUAAGGUUUGAACCACAUUAGAAAUAUCUGUAUUUUUAUGGUUAAUGGUAGAAAUUGCAUGUUUGAUGUUAGAAAAACAACUUUUGCUAAGUGAUUUUCAGUAAAAAUGUCAAAAAGGACCUAUUUGUAAAAAGUUGUAAAAUGGGUAUUAAAAUACGAACAAAAGAAAAAUGAGGGCUAAUAUAGGCAUUUAUAAGGUGCGGAUAGGCAUGGUAUUGAAGAAAUUGAGUACAUUUCAUUUUACAAGUCUAGGGACUAAAAUGUAAAAAUGUCAAACUUUAGGGGUAGAAAUGUAAUUUCUGCCAUCAUAUGAUUUGGGGCUGAUUUAAAUAGUAUAAAGAUUAAAUAAGUUAAAUGUGAUAUUAUAUAUCAAGAAAAAAAUGAGGUUUAAAAUUGGAACGAGGAAAAAAUAAGUAUUUGACGGUUAGGCCCUUUUCGCCAUUUUUAUGUCGAGGUAAGUUCGUAUGUUAAAACUAAGCUUUAAAACAAUUGUAUUUUAAUGCUCUAAUAUUGCAUUAACCGUAUGUUUAAUGAUGUGACUAAGUUUAAUUUUAUGAAUAAGCUAGACAACGAUUCGAUAAGCAAGAAACCCUAUUUGAACCUUAGGAAUAGGUUAGGAUACAAGUGACAUGUCAUUAGGGUUACAUUGUGUUAUGUGAUUAUGUGAUCCGGGUGCUGCUCUCAUACAUUCUACCGGUGACUGGAUACUCCGGCAUAUGUUACGGAUACUUGACAGCUUGUGUGAGCCGCACCAAGUAGCUACGUCUUGACUGACAGCUUGUUUGAGUAGGCCCGUGAAUAGUUCAAAAACGAGCCUAUAUGUAUUAUGAGCUAUGAGAUAGCAUUGGAUACAUAUGUGGCACUUAUGUGCAAGAUUUUUCGUGUAUCCGAUUAGUAUUCCAAGUGUUCAACAGAUAUGUCAAGGAAGAGAAAAAGAAUGUAAGUAUUACGAAUUGGUACAGGUAUGUACAUAAAGUUUAUAUGCAUUGACUUCAUGAAAUUAUGAGUUCAUGAUUUCCACGAGAAUGAUUUUGUGAAACCCUUGUGAUUAUUGGUCUAUACUUAUGAUGUAUGAAAUCCAUGGUAAAUUCGGUUGAAGAUCAUGUGAUUGGCUUUCGGGUCAAAUUGAAUUAUGAUAUAGUAUGUUUUGUUUACUCAAAUUGUGAUUUAUCGGAUAUAAGAAAAGGAAAGAUUGGCAUAAUUGCCUAUUAAAAUAACUAUGGAUGUAUGGGAAGAUAUGAGCUUUAAAUAAUUGAAUGAUGUUAAAAUAUAUGCUUGAAAUGUGAAUACUCAUGAUUAAUGCGCAUGUUUACUAUAACAUUUGAAAUGAUUUGUUCAUUGAUGUAAUAUGUUACAAAUGAGAGAUUACGGUUGUUAGGCUAAUGCCAAGAUAUGUUAAAUUAUGUUUAUAAGUUGAUUGAGUAAAUAUUGUGAUUGAACAAAAUUAUAACUGUGAGAUUCAUAGCAGUUUUUAGUAUCUUGUGUUUAAAUUGUUGAACUUAAUAAAAGACUGGUAAGAGUUGCUUAUUAUUUUAGUACGGACUGACUAAGCUAUAUAGCUUACCCCUUAUUUUCCCUUAUCUUAUAAGGUUAUUAAGCUAGCUCGGGUUGGAGAUCGCCGGAGAUACUAUUACACUAUUAAGCUAUCAUUUUGGGUAUAAAUGAAUUCAAGUAUUUUAAGUUUAUGGCAUGUGUAGGGACUAGGUCAAUUUGUUAUAUGUGUCAUUAUUGACUUGGCCAUAUGUGUUGGCUUGUAAUUGUUAAUGCUUCAUCUUAUAUAUAAGAAUGAUGGCUUAUGUUGAUUAUAAGUUUAUUUAUAUGUUAAUACCCUCUUGUGAAUGUGAAAUUAGCAUGUUUUUAAUAGGCUAAGUAUGAUGUUUUAAGCAUGAUAAAUGAUGGUAUAAGAAUGACAUGUUAUUAUCUUGGUUGUGGUUGUUUGGUUGCAUGUACAUAGGUGUGUGCAAGUGAGGGUGGAAAAAUGGCUUGGUAAAUAGCCUUGUUUUUGUCUACAUGGGCGUGUGUCUAAGCCAUGUGUGACACACGGUCUGCCGCAUGGGCAUGUGUGUUGGCCGUGUGUCCCCUGCACCCUAAUUUUUGCAAAAUAGAAUGCUUAGAAUUGAGCACAAUGGUAGAGACACGGGCAUGUAUCUCAACCGUGUGGAUGACACGGCCUCAGGCACGGGCGUGUGAAGUCUGCACCUAUUUUAUGAAAAAUCAUAAAUUUUAAAUUGACCAUACGGCCUACCCAUACGGGCGUGUCUCAAGCUACACCGGCAUGUGACCCCUAUUUAGUGGAAAAUUUUAUAAGUUUUGUAAAAACUUCUAAAAUUUUUGCUUUAGUCUUGAACCGCCUCCAGAGCAUGUUCUAGGCUUCGUAGGCCCGUAUUAGGGACAUGAUUGAACGUUAAAAAUUUUUAAUUUAGAAGCAAAUUUACGGCCCGUUUUGUAUGAAUGAAUGUGAUAUAAGUCUGGUAAUGCUUCGAGUCAUAUUCUGGAGACGAGAACGGGUAAGGGGUGUUACAUUUAGUAGUAUCAAAGCUACGGUGUAGUUGAUUCUUGGACUAACAUAGCGCAUGUGAGUCUAGCUAUACAUGCCAUAUUACUACCUGUGAUAGUGUGAUAUCUUCCGACUCUAAUUAAAUUAUUUUGUUGAGACAGAGAUGCUUCACAACCAAGCUAUUUUUGAAAACGCUGAAAGUGAUACUAAGAUAUUUGAAAAUGUGUUCGUGAUGAGUCGAAACUUCGAAAGGUAUGAAUAAGAGUUCAUGAUGUGUAUGUGAUGAUGUAUAAAAUGAAAUAACCAUAAGUUGAGAAAUAUGGGUAACAUGUCAUUGUUCCAGUUGAACGUUGUAUUUCGAUGGAUUAUGGUGAUUUUAUGAAAUGGAUAAAAUGUUAUAAAUGUUAUGAAAUGGAUUUAACCCAGACAGGUAAUCCAGAGUAAGUUCUACGGAACACAUGUUACAAAAAAUGGAUUUAACUUGGAUGAGUAAUCUCAUUAAACUUGUUAUAGAAAGGAUUUAGCUUGGACGGAUAAUUCCAAUAUAAUACCUCUUGAGCACACGUUAUGAUUAGGGUUUAACCUGGACUGGUAAUCCUAAUCGAAAUCUUCUGGGUAUACGUUAUAAAAAGGAUUUAGCCUAGAUUGGUAAUCCUGUUAAACCAUAUGUGACUCGAGAGUGUGCUCUAUGAAUACGUGCCAAAAAGGGGCACUUUCAAAUAUGAAUUGACGGAUUGUUGACAUGCAAACCUCAAGUAUACUACUCGAAUAUCCAUCAAAAUUACAAUAGUUCAAUGAGAAUUAUUCUUGAAAUAUGGAAAAGUGAAACUACAUGAAAGUCUAUAUUGUGAUAAACUCAUCCUUGUUUGUUUGACAGUUAUAUGAUAUUAUGUGCCUAACUUGUUUGAUUAAGUGAAUGCGAUAAGUAAACUUACUCAAAAUUUAUGGAAUGUAUAUAUAUGUGCAUUUUUUUGAAUAAGAUAAUCAGAAAGUUCGUGUAGCAUAAAUAUGUAUGUUAAUUUGCUUGAAGUGAAUUAUAUAACUAUGAUGAUAUUAUGAUGAUGAGGAAUGUUAAGUCACAUGUGUGUAUAUAUGAGAGUCGAGUUAGAGGCUUUACAACCUCAUUACCAGUGUGGUAUUUUGUAACGAAAUUUCACGAGAUUUAUGUUAAAGAAGUCACAAGUGAGAGACUAAAGAGUUCAGUAGUGAACUAACUAAUAAUGUGGUCAGAGUUGGGAAUAGUUUGGCAAUUGAAUAUAGUCUUGGAAAAGAUGCCAGGUUAAUUUAAAGAUCAUUUGGAUUUCGCAAUGUCACGGCUAAAAAAAAUUAAUCUCGGUUAAUCAACUCAUUGUAUGAUGUCUAAAGUAUGUAUUUGCUAGAAUUACUUUCAGAUUUAUUUUCGUUAGUGAAUGGAAUAAUACGAGAUUAGUGAUGACAGAAUUAGUCAGAGAAAUGAUGUUUGAAUCAUAAAGGUGUCUAAGCAUAACAGUUGUAAUUGAAUAGAUUAUGACGAUCUCUCUUGAGUAUUUUAUAUAUUCAUUUAUCCUCAGAGAUAUAUGUGACUAUUCGUUUUCUGAUGAAAUUCUUAUUGUAUGAGAAUGCUAGCUGAUUAUAAUGUUAGAUGAAAACACUAUUGGUCUGGUUGGUUGAUGAUCAGCAUAUCUUAUCUCUCUCUCAUUAGGGUUCUAUUAUAUUAUGUUGGGAACAAAGAUUGAUGGUGAAAAUUUAUGUGAGGCUAUUCUUCUGUUUCUACUGGAUGUUGUUUUGUUUUAUAUAUAUAUACUUGGAAAAUAUAUUAUCUCUAUUACAAUUGAUUCCAGAGCACGUAAGCAUUGUUUUUCUUUUGGUUUUCUCUGAAAAUCAUUAAGAUCUUUAUUAUUUUCUUAUGAGUUAUGUUCUCGGACUCCCAGUAUGGUAAUGCAUCUUAGAUUUCUUUAUCUCGGUCUUCUUAUCAUUCUUACUUCUUAAAUUAUCAACCAUGGCUCACCUUUAAAGUGUGUUCUUUGGCUUGUGAUAACUAUGUCUAUUAUAGGUGUAUUUUUGGUUUGAUCAUAGGAAUGUGGUGAUUCUGGUUUCAGGAAUUCUUUGAUUUUCGUGAAAGGAAUUGACAUCGGUAAAGGUAUAGAUAGUGGAAGCUCAAGCUUGAAUUGUAAGAUGGUUUUCUUUUCUCAGGUAAGUUUGGUUAAUGUCAAUGAGUUCAAUCAAGAUUUUUUGUUUCAUUGAUGCUAAUGUAGUUGUAAAGAUCUUUGAUUAGCAUGUUAAGAGAAUUAUAAAAGAUUGCAUGUUUGAGUUGUUUAACAGCAUAGAGAACGGCGUAUGUUGAUAUGUUAUUAUUUGAUAGUUGAGAUUGACUCAGUUGUUUUUAUCUAACCGAGCUGGUCAGUUAAAAGGUAACUUGAGUUAUAUGCAUUUAAGCUUGUCCUCAGGCAAGAAAAUAAAGAAUUGUACAUUCUUGGGUGAAUAGACAGAUAGUUUGAAAGAAUAAUUCAUAUACUAGAAAGUAUGAUACAGAGAUAUAUUUAUUAGAUUUGUCCUAAUCGAAUGACGUCGUUAUGAGUUAAAUUCUGUUCCAAUUGAUAAAGUUAUCACAUUUGUGAAAGUUUGAAUGGUCUGAUGCAUGUUAGCAAAGUUGAAAACAGUCUAAGGAAUUAUUAACCGAAGCACUAGUUCUGGAUUCUAUUUGAAUUGAGUAAAGAAUUCACGAUUUUUCAGUAAUACAUUAUCGAACUGAUUGAAAUGUGUUUUGAUACAUGAGUGUAAAGUGACAGUUUAUGCUUUCAGAUGGUUAAAGUCACAUUAAAAGAAUUUUCCGAUAAGUGAUUUAGAGUUAGCCACUAUUAUGUCUGUGUUUAGAAUUUAUGACAUUAUUUGUUCGACGAAAAGCGUCAUAUGCUUCUUGAUUACAAGAGUAUAAAGUAUCUAAUGUCUCAAAAAAUUCUAAAGUUAAGACAGCGUUGAUGGUUUGAGCUAUUGACAGACUUUGAGUAGUUAUCGAUUAACUUUUGUGAAAGCAAGUAUAGUUACAGAUGCUUGAAUGGAAAGCCUUUGUUCAUUUUGUGAGUGUUGGUUACAUGAUGAAUCUUAUUUUAUGGAAGUCUGAAUCUAACUAAAUUAAAAAGCUAAAGCGAAGUUUUCUUUGCAAGAUUAAGAACCUCGGGAAUGUGAUAGUAAGUGGUAAACUAAAUGAGUACAGCUUGAGAUGACUUUUGAUUCUGAUUUCUAUUAUUAUUACUCCGAGAUAGAGUUUGCGCAAUGAAUUAUCCAAAGCUUAUGCAGAAAAUGUUGUACGAGACUCGGUAGUAGCUCGUUUGAUCAUUCAGAGAGUAAUUCAGAUCUUUGACAAUAUGCUCCGACACUGUGUUUCAGAGUUCAAAGAUGAUUGGAAAGAGAUAUACAAGGUAGAAUUGAUUUGUGAUUCUGAGGAAAAAGAGUAAAGUGAUUCAUGAAAUUUGAAAGCAACUUCAGACUAACUUAAGUAGUAUAUAGAUUUGAAAAAUUAAGAUAUUGGAUUCUAGAUCGAUGACAAAAUGUUUCUGGAAGUAUUGCUCUCGAAGAGGACUCUUCGAUGAGGUAGAGGAAACUACGAGCAUGUUACCCUAAUCUCUUUUAUGGUAAGAUUUUCGGGGACAAAAAUUCUUAAGGGGGAGAGUUGUAACAGCCCGAUUUUGGGUCUAGUCAGAAAAGUGGUUUCAAGACUACAAAUCCAAAGUAGAAAAACUUAUUUUUAUUAUAUUUUUAUGAUUUACAGUUUCAUAGAAUGAUUGCGUGAAAAUUUCGUUCAAAAAUUUUGAUGUUUGGGAACUCAAUUUGGUCAAAAGAACUAAAUUGUAAAAAGUAUAAAACUUGAGUUCUAUAAGCUAGAGGAGUUUAAUUGCUACAGAAUUUUAAAUUAGAGAUCCUUAGAUGGUAAUUAUACCAUUACUUAAGUUGGUGGACAAAAACAAACGUGGAGUAAGAUCAAUUUUAGUGUUUUAAGAAAAGGACAUUUUGGUUAUUUGGUAAUUAAAUGAAUAAAAAGCCAAAAUUUGUCCAUCUUCUUCCUCCCAUAGCCGAAAUUUAGAAGGGGAAGCCAUAGCUAGGGUUUGGUCACUUCCAAGCUUGAUUGUAAGCCCGUUCUUGUCCUAUUUUUAAAGCUCUUUACAUUUUUGAAGUCAUUAUAACUUGAUCUACCUAUUUUUAGCAAUAAUUUGAAGAAUGAUUAAGGUCUAGGGUUUGAACCAUGUUAUAAAUGUCUAUAUUUUGAUGGCUAAUGGUAGAAAUUGCAUGUUUGAUGUUAGAAAAACAACUUUUGCUAAGUGAUUUUCGGUAAAAAUGUCAAAAAGGACCUAUUUGAAAUAAGUUAUAAAAUGGGUGUUAAAAUGUGAAUAAAAGAAAAAUGUGGGCUUCUAUAGGUAUGUAUAAGAUGCGACAAGGCAUGGGUAUUGAUGAAAUUGAGUACAUUUCAUUUUAUGAGACUAGGGACUAAAAUGUAAAAAUGUCAAACUUUAAGGGCAAAAAUAUAAAAUUUUCCAUAAUGUGAUUUUGGGCUGAUUUGAAUAGUAUAAAGAUUAAAUAAUUUAAAUGUGAUAUUAUAGUUCAAGAGAAAAUGAGGUUCGAAAUUAGAACGGGAGAAAAACAAGUAUUUGACGGUUAGGCCAUUUUCGCCAUUUUCAUGCAGAGGUGAGUUUGUAUGUUAAAAAUAAGCUUUAAUAUAAUUGUAUUUUAAUGCUUUAAUAUUGCAUGAACUAUAUGUUUAAUGAUAUGAAUGAGUUUAAUUCUAUGAAUGAGCCCGACAACAAUUCGAUAAGCAAGAAAUCCCGUUUGAACCUUAGGAAUAGGUUAGGAUACCAGUGACAUGUCACUAGGGUUACAUUGUGUUAUGUGAUUAUUUGAUCUGGGUGCUGGUCUCGUACAUCUUACCAGUGGCUGGGUACUCCGGCAUAUGUUGCGGAUACCUGACAGCUUGUGUGAGUAGCACCGAGUAGCUACGUCUUGAUUGACAGCUUGUGUGAGCAAGCCCGUGAAUAGUUUAAAAAUGAGCCUAUAUGUAUUAUGAGAUAUGAGGUAGCAUUGGCUACAUAUGUGGCACUUAUGUGUAAGAUUUUUCGUGUAUCCGAUUAGUAUUCCAAGUGUUCAACAGGUAUGUCAAGGAAGAGAAAAAGUAUGUAAGUAUUACGAAUUGGUACAGGUAUGUACGUAAAGUUUAUAUGCAUUGACUUCAUGAAAUUGUGAGUUCAUGAUUUCCACGAGAAUGAUUUUGUGAAACCCUUAUUAUUAUUGGUCUAUACUUAUGAUGUAUGAAAUUCAUGGUAAAUUCGGUUGAAGAUCAUGUGAUUGGCUUUCGGGUCAAAUUGAAUUAUGAUAUAGUAUGUUUUGUCCACUCAAAUUGUGAUUUAUCGGAUAUAAGAAAAGGAAAGAUUGGCAUAAUUGCCUAUUAAAAUAACUAUGGAUGUAUGGGAAGAUAUGAGCUUUAAAUAAUUGAAUGAUGUUAAAAUAUAUGCUUGAAAUGUGAUUACUCAUGAUUAAUGCGCAUGUUUACUAUAAGAUUUGAAAUGAUUUGUUCAUUGAUGUAAUAUGUUACAAUUGAGAGAUUACGGUUGUUAGGCUAAUGCCAAGAUAUGUUAAAUUAUGUUUAUAAGUUGAUUGAGUAAAUAUUGUGACUGAAUAAAAUUAUAACUGUGAGAUUCAUAGCAGUUUUUAGUAUCUUGUGUUUAAAUUGUUGAACUUAAUAAAAGACUGGUAAGAGUUGCUUAUUAUUUUAGUACGGACUGACUAUGCUAUAUAGCUUACCCCUCUUUUUUUCUCUUAUCUUAUAGGGUUAUUAAGCUAGCUCGGGUUGGAGAUCAUCGGAGAUACUAUCACACUAUCAAGCUAUCAUUUUGGGUAUAAAUGAAUUCAGCCAUUUUGUGUUUAUGGCAUGUAUAAGGACUUGGUCAAUUUGUUAUAUGUGUCAUUAUUGACUUGGCCAUAUGUGUUGGCUUGGAAUUGUUAAUGCUUCAUCUUAUAUAUAGCCAUGAAUGAUGGCUUAUGUUGAUUAUAAGUUUAUUCAUAUGUUAAUGCCCUCUUGUGAAUGUGAAAUUAGCAUGUUUUUAAUGGGCUAAGUAUGAUGUUUUAAGCAUGAUAAAUGAUGGUAUAAGAAUGACAUGUUAUUGUCUUGGUUGUGGUUGUUUGGUUGCAUGUACAUAUUAGAACUUGUGCCAUGUGAUGUGGUGUAGAUGUGUGCAAGUGAUGGUGGCAAAAUGGCUUUGUAAAUAACCUUGUUUUUGUCCAAAUGGGUAGACACACGGGUGUGUGUCUAGGCCAUGUGUGAUACACGGUCUGUCCCAUGGGCAUGUGUGUUGGCCGUGUGUCCCCUGCACCCUAAUUUUUUCAGUAUAGAAUGCUUAGAAUUGAGCACACGGGCAGAGACACGGGCGUGUGUCUCAGCUGUAUGGAUGACACGGCCUCAGGCACGGGCCUGUGCCCUGAGCGUGUGAAGUCUGCACCUAUUUUAUGAAAAAUCAUAAAUUUUAAAUCGAACACACGGCCUAGCACACGAGCGUGUGACAUGGCCGUGGGUCUUCAAUUUGUUCUUAGGUGACAAACAGAGAGUUGCACGGGGUUGGGACACAGGCGUGUGUGACUACACGGGCGUGUCCCAAGCCACACGGGCGUGUGACCCCUGUUUAGUGGAAAAUUUUCUAAGUUUUGUAAAAAUUUCUAAAGUUCUCGGUUUAGUCCCAAACUGCCUCCAGAGCAUGCUCUAGGCUUCGUAGGCCCGUAUUAACGACGACAUGAUUGAACGUUAAAAAGUUUUAAUUUGGAAGAAAAUUUACAGCUCGGUUUGUAUGAGUGAAUGUGAUAAAAGUCUGGUAAUGCCUCAAGCCCUAUUCUGGCGUCGAGGAUGGGUAAGGGGUGUUAUAUUCAGGGUAUUACUAAAGAUUCUUUAAAGACUAUGGCACGAUAGCAAGACCAUUCACUGACUUGCUGGAGAAAGAGGAAUGGAAUUGGAUUCCACAAGUUGGCAAUGCCUUCACCUUAAAAACAACCCUUAGUUCUGCUCCUGUCCUUACCCUACAAAAUUUCCAGCUUGUUUUUUUUUUUUUGGACACUGAUGCCACUAACUCUGAAGUAGGAGCAGGUUUACAACAACAAGGACACCUUAUAGCUUUAUUUAGCAAGGCACUUGAAACUAAUCACCAAUCCUUGUCGAUUUAUGAAAUGGAAAUGCUAGCGACUCUUUUGGCAGUCAAAAAAUGGCAUCACUACCUAGUUGGUCAUCGUUUUUGCAUCUAAACUAACCACCAAAGCUUGUAAUUCCUAGCUGACUAGAAACACGAAAAUAUACACACUUUUUUAUACUCAUUUUAACUCAAAUUCAUGCAGUUUCGAUAAAAUUCUUGUCGAAAAAUAUUUAAUUAUUAUAAAAUAAUUAAAUUGUACUUAAAUUAUUAAAAUGUUGAAUUUUACUUAAUUUUAUAAUAAAUUUUGAUUAAUUUUGAUCAUUUUCGAUAGAUUUGCACAAAGGGCGAAAAACGGCUCGGCAGAACACUGCUAGAAACACAAAACCGAUAAGCAAUUUUGAAGCAUUAAGGCGAAUUAAUUUUUCAGCCUAAGACGGUCCAAAUUAUGUGUAUUAAUUAAUAAUAUAAUUAAUUUUAAUUUUAAUUCAAUUUAAUUUGGGUUAAAUAAAUUAUUAUUAAUUAAUUAUGAAAGUGGCCCAGUUGAGUUGAAUUUAGAAAAUCGAUUCAACCGAGCACUGGGUAGCAGAAAACUGUCCCUCAUGUUGACCCAAUCAGCUUACUUGGCUGAUUAUUUAACUUGCAAAAUGGUCCUUGAAAACUCCUUCAAAUUGCAUUCAAACACCUCCACUAUUUGUGCCUUUCUACAUGUGUGGCCAGCCAUGGGGGGACUCUAUGGCUAUUGAAUUUUGCUAAUUUUAGUAGUCAUCUCAACCUAUUAAUACCCCCUCUUUGGUGCUCACUUCAAACACAUCUCAACCCUUCUCAUCUCUUCACUUUUCUCUCAUUUUUCUCUCUUCAUUCCCUUCCAGUUUUCUUCAUUUCCUUCCCCUAUUCCCUUGCCAAUUUCACCUCUUGAAAAAGAGUCAAUCAACCACCAUUUGGAGUAGCAUUCAAGUGUUCAUAGAAGCUUUGGUUUGACAAGAACAAGCAGAGAAUGAAGAGUGGAGCAAACUAGUCAAGCCAAGGAGAAAACACCAAAUUCUUGUUCCCUAUCCUUUUAAUUUUGUUGUUCUUAUAAUGAACAUGUCUAUGAAUAUUUGUGAUUUUGAUAUGUUUAAUUUAAUUAAUAUGGCUUAAAUUUAAUUCGUGUUAGGUUGAUUGCAUUUCGUCUACUUAAUUUAUUAAAACUGUGUUUGUGUUGUCAUAGGCCUCGGUAAGAUGUUUGAUUAAGUAAAACCAUGACUAAGUUAUUCUUGCAUUACAAUUGUAAGGUAACUAAUGAAUUAAUUAUUUAAACGGAUUGAAAUUUUAAUUAAUUGACACGAUACUUAAUUAGUGCAUAUUUAAUCAUCUAAGGUAGCUAAGGGUUAAAUUAGCAACGUUAUCUAGCAAUACAUUAGCCUUGCAUAACUUGCAAGAUUAUUGUGAUUAAACUGUUUCAAGGUAGAAAUACAUUGUUACCUCACGUGAUCUUUUAUGUGCUUUUGAGAUUGAAUUAAUUGUUUGAAUUGGCAUAGAGAUAUGUACAAGAGAUUAUUUUAAUUUCAUAAGUAUGUAUGUGCAUUAACACAUUUACUUAUUAGAAUUUGUUUAAUCAGUUGAAUUGACAUAGAGAUAUAGUCAAGAGAUAAAUGGAUUUUGGUAGGUAAGUAUGUUCAUAAGUUAGCAAAUUACCGAGUUGCCGUGAAUUUAUUCGUAACAACAUGAACAUGAGUUUAAUAAUUCUAAGUUAAGAAAUGCAAUUAAUCUAACACAAUUAUGUCAUCUUGAUUAAAAUCAUCUUUUGAAAUCGUGCAUUGGAACUUUUAUUUUAUUUUUAUGUAUUUUACUUAGUUAAAAUCCUAGUUUUUAAUAACCUCCUCCAAUCAAAAUAUUUUUCUUCACAAAAGUGUCUUUAAAAUUGGAUGCAUAAAUAAUUCUUUUCACAGUCCCUAUGGGUACGAUAACUCGACAUUUACUUGUCACUUUAUUACUUGUUGUGAUUGUGUACACUUACACAUUUUCAUCAUUCCACUAACCAGCAGGUUGUUACUCAUUUUCAAAAGAAAUGGGUCUCCAAAAUGCUUGGUUAUGACUUUCAUAUGUUAUACAGGAAGGGUAGCACCAACAUAGUAGCCGAUGCUCGUUCAAGACAGCGUAUGGGGGCUGAAGGAUAGUGUUUACAAUUGAAAGGUAGCUCGAUAAUAUCUAGCCUAUUAGCUUGGGUGCAAGAAGCUUGGAUACAUGACCCUCGUAUUAACAAAAUUUGUUUGGAGCUACAAGCCCAACCCUCAUCCCAUCCAAAGUACAGUUGGGAUGGUCGUUUUUUAAGAAGAAAUGGGAAACUUGUGAUCGGCAAGGAUCAAGAACGUCAAACAGCCCUAUUUUCUUAUUUUCACGAGAGUUCCACAAGGGGCAUUCGGGCAUCCAUUCUACGAGACAACGACUUGCAAGUAUGGUUUAUUGGAAAGGGAUGCAUACGGUUAUUAAACAAUGGGUGAAGAAUGCCUUGUUUGCCAAUGAAACAAGUAUGAUACCUCUGCUCAUCCUGGGUUACUUUAGCCACUCCCAAUUCCUACUCAUGCUUGGUCCGAAGUGAGCAUGGAUUUCAUCGAGGGAUUACCCCCUUCUAAGGGAAAGAAUUCCAUUCUCGUAAUAGUGGAUAGACUCAUUAAAUAUGCCCAUUUUGUAGGACUCUCUCAUCCCUUUACUUACAAUAGCCCAAGCCUAUCUUGACCAUGUUUAUAAGCUCCACGGGAUAGCGCUAAAAUUUUAACAGUUCAUUUAGCUUUCUCGUCCAAAAAACAAUAAAAUAAUUAAAUUUUAAAAAAAUUAAGGAUCUAAAUUUAAAAAAAAUAAUUUUUUUUUACGAAAAACAUAUAUUUUGUAAUUUGGUGAAUGGACUGCGGCAUUCACACCCACUAUGGUCCAUAAUUUUCAGUGGGAACAAAAGCAUGGAAACAAUGAAAACAGACAUCCUUCUUUUUACAUUGAUUAAGACUCCCCUUUUCUUCUCUUUUAUCUUUCUUUAUUUUCUAUGAUUUAAGUGAGAAAAGAAUAGCAGAAAAAAGGCUAUGGAAAGAAACCUAUUGGAUGAAGACAACAAGUGAUUUUGAAAGUAGAAACGCGUAUUGCAAAUCAGAAAACAUCAUAACAAUGAGAACAUACACCCUUUUUUUUCGGAUUGAUUAAGACCUUCCCACAACAAGUUUUGUCAGGAGGGGGGCCUGGCGCAAAAGAAGGUUGGGCUUAAACACCGAGACUUGACUCAGUUAAUUAAGAUUAUCAUGCAAUCAUCCUUAAUAAAUCCUCCUCUAUUAAACAAAACACUGAGUCACUGAGACGAAGUAAUGAGUAGUGAGCCCAAACACCGCAACUUUUAUGUGGAUAGAUUGAAAAUCAUUAAUUUCUAAUUCUCCUUCUUGGAUAGCAAAUGGAAAUUGCUGCAAUGAUUAACACACUUCAACAUAUAUAAUCGACCUUAACUUCUUCGCUACGCUAAACGAUUUCCAAUCUAUAAAUACAAGCACAUCCAUAGUGCUAUUGCCUAUAAGUACAUCCUCCUCAAUACCAAUUAUUCAUCACCUCAUCUAAAACAUCUUAUAAUCCUUCUUUUUAAAUACUCGUCUUUAAAAACAAAAAUUGUGAAACAUGCACAAUCCACUUUUUCUUGUGCUUACUGUAAUAUUCUCCAGCCUGGUGGUUCAGCCAGUCAUGGGAGCAAAGGGUUUCAGUGUGGAGCUUAUUCAUCUUGAUUCACCAAUAUCUCCUUUCUAUAAUGCUUCUCUCACCUCAUCACAGAUCCUAAGAAAAAAUGCCCUCCAUUCCAUGGACCGUCUCAAACACUUCCAAUUCUUGAUUGAUCAAAGCGCCAUCCAAUCUGCAGUGACUCCAAAUGGAGGUAUUUAUCUGAUGAAACUCUCCUUUGGAACCCCGCCAGUUGACUACAUGGCCGUUGCAGACACUGGAAGCGACCUUAUAUGGAUACAAUGUGUUCCAUGUCUUCAAUCUCAAUGUUAUCCACAAGGUUCUCCUCCUUUCGAUCCUCAAGCAUCUUCCACCUACAAAAAGAUUCCUUGCGAUUCCGAUAGUUGCCAAGCUCUUCCCCGGUAUCAGUGCUCCAACGACGUUAAUGACUGUCAAUACUCGUAUAGCUAUGGAGACAAGUCAUUUACGAAAGGAAUCCUCAGCACCGAUACCUUGACUUUUG
RNAcentral lists this long non-coding RNA (30181 nucleotides) under Gossypium barbadense (sea-island cotton). RNAcentral's name for it is "long non-coding RNA (GBAR_LNC012746)". The record is from RNAcentral. Lineage: Eukaryota; Viridiplantae; Streptophyta; Magnoliopsida; Malvales; Malvaceae.